Non-coding RNA from Odocoileus virginianus texanus, 2538 nucleotides. NCBI's taxonomy places the organism in Eukaryota, Metazoa, Chordata, Mammalia, Artiodactyla, Cervidae. The record is from RefSeq and is a predicted model, not a curated record.
GUCUUUAAGCCGUUUUGAGUUUCUUUUUGUGUAUGGUGUGUGGGAGUGUUAUAACUUCUUUGAUUAACAGGUGGCUGUCCACCUUUUCCAACACUACUUGCUGAGAAGACUUUUCCCCCAUUGUAUAUUCUCACCACCUUUUUGAAGAUUAACUAACCAUAGGUUAAAAGGAAGCACCACACCUGUAAUCCUCCCUUUGAAUCUGAUCCACCCAAGCCUUGAGAACUUGGAGUCUGGCCAGUGACUGUAAGAGGGGACCCUUCUGAAGACAGUCCCUGAUGGACACCGGCUCAUGGUGGGUUUGCUGGGUUUUCUUCAGGUCUGCUCCUUCACCCCUGUUCCACAGAGUCCCUGAUUUCUGCCCCCUCACGCAAGGCAUUUCUUGGCUAAAAUCUCAGUCUGUUUUUCUGACUUCACUUGGCUGGUGUCCCCCCAAGCAUUUCUAAAAAUGUUAACCUGGCCUCAGAUCCCACUUUUGGCACCUCAUUCAAGACCUGACUUAUCCCAGCUCUGCCUUAGGCCCCCUCUCCGCAGAGAGGCACUGUGAUGUAACUAGAUAAACCUUGGCCACUCUAGGAGACCUCAACUCAUCUCCCCUCUGUGGGCCUUUUCUCUUCUACACAACGGACAGCCUAAGGUUUGCCUUUUUUACACUGCAAAGCUGUGACAGGCAAGUGUCAGAGUCAACAUAAAAGUCAACGUUGCCUAAAAUGAGUAAUAAUGACCACAUCUCUGUGGAUCGGACACUAGGCCCAGCACUUUACAUCUAUUAACCAGCUUAUGGAUAGUAAAUCAUUUCCCCCUUUGCUUUUAGGGACAGAGAUGUUUCUUCAGAAGAUAAGAGAAAGACUGAAUUCAGUAUGGUGCAAUACCCACUCUAUGUGCCAAGCUGUCUGUGCUUGGUGUUCUUGCCCCCCUGAAAGCCCCUCUCUUUUUCUGGGUAUCUUAGCAUCAUCAUCAGUGUUAGGGCAACCAAGGCACAGUGAAUACUUGGGGAUAGAUUCAGAAUUCUUGAGAAAUUCAUUAGGAAGCUCAGUGGUUACCAACCAAGUUAGGGUCAGCAGCAAGCAUGGAAUGACAAUUAAGUAUAAAUUGUUCCAGAGUUUGUCCCUCACCCAGCCCCCAACCCCACUGGCAGCCGCUGAACAUUUGUGAACAAACAAAAUGAAGUGAGAUUUCAACAGCUGCUCUGUCUCCCUUUCAAGUUAACAUAAUUCUAGCUCGGAUAUAGCCUGAAUAUGUUUGAAUGGUGAUCCCUAAAAAGAUAUGUCCACAUCCAAAUGCCUAGACCCCCAUAGUAUUCCUUUCUUUGAGAAAUGGGUUUUUAUAGAUAUAAUUAAAGUUAAGGGCCUUACUAAUUUAUUUUUUAUUGAACUAUAAUUGAUUUACAAUGUUGUAUUAAUUUUUGCUGUAUAGCAUAGUGACUCAGUUAUACAUGAAUAUACGUUCCUUUUUAUAUUUGUAAUUAAGGAUCUUAAAAUGAGAUAGUCUGGUUUGCCUGGGUGGGUCCUAAAUCCAAGGACAAGUGUCAUGAGAGACAGAAGAGGAACGACAGACUCGCUGAGAAGACAGAGGCAGAGACUGGAGUGAUGUGGUCACAGUUGGGGAAGCCAAGGCCUGCUGCCAGCCACCAGAAGCUGGAAGGGGAUGCUAUACUCAAGAGUCCCUGGAGGGUGUGAGGAAAUCCCGUCCCUGCCCUUGGACGUGCAGUCACUAGCACACCACAGAGAUGCAGGUGAUGAUGGAGCAUUGCUCUAGUGCUCGUGAGGUGGGUACCAUUAUCAUCCCUAUUCCUGAGUGAGGAAACGAAGGCACCAGGAGGUCAAAGAGCUUGCCCAAGGUCCCUCAGCUGUAAGUGGAAGAAUCAGACAUGAGCACGUAGGUAAAAAUCACGUUGUCUGACCACCCAGAGAAAAGGAAGGUGCUGCAUGGCUGACGACACCCAGGAGGGAGGGAGUUCAGGAGGGGCCCUGGGAGGACCCCUGUGCUGAGAUCUGAGCCUUCUCUGGCAGCCUGAAGCCUCUGACCCACGGCCUACCUGCCGGAUGUCCCCUCCACCCCCGCAGCGGCUUGGUGUCCUUUUAGCUGUGAGGCUAAAUUUGGCUGGCUCAGGGCAGGUGAAACCAGCCCAGUCUCAUAACACUCAGUCUGAGGAGGGGAAGGCUUCCUGGAGGAAGCUGCAUUUAAUCAGAGACGUGGAGGAGGAGGAGUCAGGUAUGGGAGAAGAGGUCAGGAAAGAGAGUUCAGGCUGGGACACGGCUGGCCAAAGCCCCCAGGGAGUGUGAAAGUGAGUGAUCAGUUUCUUCCGAGCUCUUCACGUGUCUCAACUGCAUGUUUACCCAAACCCACGCAGGGCAAACUCACCGCAACUUUCCCAGCCCACAUUUCCAUCCGUUCACUCUUUCCUCUGCACAUUCAAAAGACUCAUCCACCGCCCUCCACUUUGGCAAAACACAUGGUCUUAUCUGCAGGCCCAUCUCAGAACUGUCUGAGCAUCCAGCUGGCCUGGGCCCCUCAGGACGUGGUCUCUGGGACGGA